Molecule: ribosomal RNA, 253 nt
Filed under: uncultured bacterium
Lineage: Bacteria
Description: partial 16S ribosomal RNA
Rfam family: Bacterial small subunit ribosomal RNA
Source: RNAcentral
UACGGGGGGUGCGAGCGUUGUCCGGAAUCACUGGGCGUAAAGGGAGCGUAGGCGGCGUGGUAAGUCAGAUGUGAAAUCCCGGGGCUCAACCCCGGAACUGCAUCCGAUACUGCCAUGCUAGAGGAUUGGAGAGGUAGCUGGAAUUCUUGGUGUAGCAGUGAAAUGCGUAGAGAUCAAGAGGAACACUCGUGGCGAAAGCGAGCUACUGGACAAUUCCUGACGCUGAGGCUCGAAGGCUAGGGUAGCGAAAGGG